Molecule: long non-coding RNA, 1641 nt
Organism: Monomorium pharaonis (pharaoh ant)
Lineage: Eukaryota; Metazoa; Arthropoda; Insecta; Hymenoptera; Formicidae
Exons: 2
Source: RefSeq, a predicted model, not a curated record
UUCUGUUCUACGUUGAAUAAAGGCAAAUGAAUUGUUAGUUGUGCUGCUACAGAGAUGAAUGCAGCGCCUAGAAACGCAAAGCUGACGUAAACGGAACGUAAAGAAUCGAGGCGCUGACGUUGUUUACGAGACGAGACAGAUCACAGAUAGAGGAAAUAUCGAUUUUGCUGGAUGUCAAUGAAACUGCAAGAAUGUUUCGCACGCUCUAUUCAGCAACUUUGCCCGGCGCACGCGGGUCUAUCUGGCUGCAGAUAGAAAUCUUUCGACGCCUUGGUUCCGCGCGCAUUGUUGUAAACGGUGUGUGUUUAUGAGUGUGUGUGUAUGUGUGUGUCUCCUUGCGGAAUAAUACCGGUGCGUUGCAACAAUAAACCAACCGCCGACGCAUAAUACGACAGCAAUAGCCGGCGGCAGAAUCCGGUGAUUUAUCACACUUGUCUCUUAGUUUCGUGUAUCGCGCUACCAUUCCGUGUCAAUAGUUCCCCGAGUUUGACGUGUCAUAAAUUACGGGGUGCUUGCGAGCUGGCGAUAGGCGUGGUUUGGUGUACGUGACGAUACUUCUUGUCGCAAACCGUCGUGACAAUCCCUCUUUAUAAGAGAGCUAUCGCGACGGCGAGUACUUCCGCGAAGUAAUAAAAAGAAACGUGCCUUUCGUGGCGAAUCGCUCUUCAGAGAUAAAUAUAUAGAUAAGUAACGCAUUUUUCUUUCUCAACCUGUUCAGAUGGACUUUGACAGAAUUAGAGUUGACAAAAUAUCCAUAACGAUGAGACAUUAAUAAGAUUUUUCACUGACAGAAAAGAAUAUGGUUGAUUCAAAUACAUAUUUAUUUGAUUAGUACUAAUAACAUAUUUCACAAAAAAUUAAUAAUACUUAUAUUACACAAGUAAUAUUUUCUAAAUUAUAGAAAGCAUUACUUGUUUUAAAUAAAUAUUAUUGAUUUUCUAUAAAAUACGUUAUUAGUACUAUUCAAAUAUUUAUUUGAAUCGAGCAUCCUUUUCUGUCAGUGUAUAAUUUAUAGUCAUUUUUAAACUCAACCAUAUUUUUAUAGUUGUUUCAACGACAUAUAUUUUGCUUAAACUAUAUUAAUAUUCUCAUAAUCAUAAUAUUGCAUACAACUUGUGAUACGAUUGCCAUGAACGAAAUGGAGAUUUUAAUAUAGUAAUUUGUACUACAAAACAAUCUUAAUUUGUACUAUAAAACCAUAAACAUAUGAUUAUUAUUACCAAUAUUACAGUAAUAAUUAUUAUAAAAAUAAUAUUCCCGACUAUAAUUAUUUUGCUAUGCAAUUAUUGCCGAAAAUAUUACACAUUUUUUUCUCAGUGAAGUAUCUGAAGAUUUAGCUACACUGAAAAGAAGAGUCUUGUUGCAUUAAUUGGAAAUCUGCUAAAUUCAACCAAUAUGUCUGCUAAAAAAUGAACGAGUCGGAAAUCUUGUAGGAAUUAAGGGAUUAUAAAGAGUGUAUCAAAUGUGUUUAUAAUAAUCAGAAAUUCUGCUUGACUUCACCAAGGUGCACUCAAUCAUACAUGUUUGGUGGCUAUAAUUAAAUCAUUUUUCUCAGUGUAAAUAAAUACAUAUUAAGAAAUUUUAUUGAAUCAUAGAAAUAAUUAUAAAGAAAGUUGAAAUACAAAAUCUUACAAAAUCAUU